UACGGAAGGCAGCAGUGGGGAAUAUUGCACAAUGGGCGCAAGCCUGAUGCAGCCAUGCCGCGUGUAUGAAAAAGGCCUUCGGGUUGUAAAGUACUUUCAGUCGUGAGGAAGGUGUUAAGGUUAAUAACCUUAGCAAUUGACGUUAGCGACAGAAGAAGCACCGGCUAACUCCGUGCCAGCAGCCGCGGUAAUACGGAGGGUGCGAGCGUUAAUCGGAAUUACUGGGCGUAAAGGGCACGCAGGCGGUUAAUUAAGUUGGAUGUGAAAUCCCCGGGCUUAACCUGGGAAUGGCAUUCAAGACUGGUUAGCUAGAGUCUUGUAGAGGGGGUUAGAAUUCCAUGUGUAGCGGUGAAAUGCGUAGAGAUGUGGAGGAAUACCGGUGGCGAAGGCGGCCCCUGGACAAAGACUGACGCUCAUGUGCGAAAGCGUGGGAAGCAAACAGGGAUUAGAUACC
This 454-nucleotide ribosomal RNA is filed under the name uncultured bacterium. Its description in RNAcentral is "bacterial SSU rRNA". It matches the Rfam family "Bacterial small subunit ribosomal RNA", at positions 340 to 786 of the family's 1533-position model. The record is from RNAcentral.